UAGGGAAUCUUCCACAAUGGACGCAAGUCUGAUGGAGCAACGCCGCGUGAGUGAAGAAGGUUUUCGGAUCGUAAAGCUCUGUUGUUGGUGAAGAAGGAUAGAGGUAGUAACUGGCCUUUAUUUGACGGUAAUCAACCAGAAAGUCACGGCUAACUACGUGCCAGCAGCCGCGGUAAUACGUAGGUGGCAAGCGUUGUCCGGAUUUAUUGGGCGUAAAGCGAGCGCAGGCGGAAGAAUAAGUCUGAUGUGAAAGCCCUGGGCUUAACCGAGGACCUGCAUCGGAAACUGUUUUGCUUGAGUGCAGAAGAGGAGGGUGGAAUUCCAUGUGUAGCGGUGGAAUGCGUAGAUAUAUGGAAGAACACCAGUGGCGAAGGCGACUCUCUGGUCUGCAACUGACGCUGAGGCUCGAAAGCAUGGGUAGCGAACAGG
Molecule: ribosomal RNA, 429 nt
Filed under: bacterium
Lineage: Bacteria
Description: partial 16S ribosomal RNA
Rfam family: Bacterial small subunit ribosomal RNA
Source: RNAcentral